Molecule: long non-coding RNA, 978 nt
Organism: Panthera uncia (snow leopard)
Lineage: Eukaryota; Metazoa; Chordata; Mammalia; Carnivora; Felidae
Exons: 4
Source: RefSeq, a predicted model, not a curated record
CAGACACUUGGGAGCAUUGGCCCUUGCAGUGUGAGUGAGGCAGAGAGGGCGUGACCUGCCUCAGCACCCGGAGACCCCACUCUGAAGGCUGGGGGCCACCACUGUGGCAGCUUCUCCCACCACCAUCAUCUCCCCAUUGCCAGGACAAGCACAUCAGGAGGAUAUGGCUCUGAUCUGAGUGAGGCAAUGGUAGCAUGGGUGUGGAGAGAAGACCUAUUGAGAAUCUGGGAGCAAGGAAUGAAAGAUGAGUUUAUGACUCAAGGAAUGCAUGGAUACCAGCAGAUGCCCACAUCCCUGCAGUUCUUUCUCUGUCAGUAUCCUUGGAGGGGAAGUUUUCUCUGUCAGUCAUCUUAGAAGGAGAACUUGGACACGGUGGCUUUGGAUUAGGAGCCCUCCACAAAGGGCUCGUCUAGCCCAGCCUAGUGGGGGAAGCUUAGGGGGAGCGGCUACAAGACCAAAGGGGAGGAAACACCAGAAGCCACAGAGGAAGGAGCAGGUGCUGAGAGAGAGAAAUGCUGCUGGCCUCCAGGCAACAAUCAAAAUUAAGGAAAUGCUCAAAUAAAUGACAGGAUGGGGGCAUCUGGAAAGAACACAGGAACCAACCUGGGGGAGCCCUCAGUGGCCAAAGCUUGAACAAUCUGAGCAAUACAAUAAAUAAUGUAGUGUUGGGUUGUUACCCAAAACAUAAAAAUUGAUGUUUGAAUAAGUAAGUAAAUGGGGGGAGGGGAUCCUCCUUUCCCAAAAAUUUCAUUUAUUUUAUGUAGAUAUUCCUCCUGGGGGGUGGAGCUUCUUUGUUCCCUUUCCACACAUGAGAAUGAACUUAACUUAGUGACUGAACUCCAAAGAACAGAGUUUGGAAAGGCAAAAAUAGUAAUACUAGGGACACCUGGGUGGCUCAGUCGGCUAAGUGUCUGACUUGGGCUCAGGUCAUGAUCUCACAGCUCUCUGCUUUCAGUGUGGAACCUGCUUCAGUUCCGU